UUUCAAAGUGAGCCUUUCAAAAGUGCAUGGAGUGUUGAAGUCAUUGUCAUUUCCGUGCAGUGAAAGACAGAGCGUCAACACUCUUCACGACAUAUGUCAACAGUGCUCCUCCUGAUACGAGAAGAAAAAGGAUGUGCAGGGUGAGCAGGUCAGAGAUUCAAGUUGUUGCUAGAAUUGUUGCUUCACUCAGAGAUUCAAGUUGCCUGGGCCAAGGUAAGAAAAGAACACUGAAAUAUAGCUUCCCAAUAUAACCGAAUUUGGUAAACUGCAGAUGUUAGAACCGAACUUCUCCCAUCUUUAUGUGCUGGAAAAGAUUUUACAGUUCAUGAAUGCAAAGUCAUAUAUAUAAUAUGCAAAAGCUUGAGACUAGUCUGUACAAACUACACACAUCUGAUUCAUUUUUUGAGGAAAUAAUAAGACCAGCAAGCUUCCUGGCAAGUUGAUUCAUAAUCAAAUUAUGCAUCCCUAUGUUAGUAAUCCAACUCAUAACAUAGGGUAAACAAGUCUUACAUUCAAAGUUAUGAUAUUUAUAUGCUUUUGCUGCAGAAGAUAACAAUAUCAGAUGUCAAGUGUUAGCAGUGAUUCCAUUGACUUGCAUAAGAGCAUAAGUUGAAACAUCAAACAGAAAGGUGGUCUCCUGCCUCCCCAUUUCUUUUCUUCUGGAUAAGCGUGCCUCCCCAAAUCUGCAAUUACAUGCACUUCGUUUGCAGCUUUUUGAGACCAGCACUGCAUGUCUGCUUUUUUAGUAUUGUUCAAUUGUGGGUUCGCUCUGUCCUUUUUUUCCUGCAGAAUUGCAAUUUUUCCAUCUAGUUCAGCAAUAGCCGGGGGUAUUCAGGUACUUCCAUUACUUUAAAA
This 855-nucleotide long non-coding RNA is filed under the name Eucalyptus grandis. RNAcentral's name for it is "long non-coding RNA (EGRA_LNC002210)". Lineage: Eukaryota; Viridiplantae; Streptophyta; Magnoliopsida; Myrtales; Myrtaceae. The record is from RNAcentral.